This 253-nucleotide ribosomal RNA is filed under the name uncultured bacterium. RNAcentral describes it as "partial 16S ribosomal RNA". It matches the Rfam family "Bacterial small subunit ribosomal RNA", at positions 524 to 776 of the family's 1533-position model. The record is from RNAcentral.
UACGAAGGGGGCUAGCGUUGUUCGGAAUUACUGGGCGUAAAGCGCGCGCAGGCGGCUAUCCAAGUCAGUGGUGAAAGCCCGGAGCUCAACUCCGGAACUGCCAUUGAAACUGUUUAGCUUGAGGACGAGAGAGGUGAGUGGAAUUCCCAGUGUAGAGGUGAAAUUCGUAGAUAUUGGGAAGAACACCGGUGGCGAAGGCGGCUCACUGGACCACAACUGACGCUGAGGCGCGAAAGCUAGGGGAGCAAACAGG